CCUACCUCUAGAAGCCUUGCAGGUGUGGCUUCCGUAUCACAUGUGUACCAGUAGGUGGCAGAAAGAAGAAAGGCUAUCUAUGUCUACAAUCAUUGUUCUGACCUAUGAACAUCUGAAUAAUUAGUAACUUAUCAUU
Grammomys surdaster is the source of this 136-nucleotide small nucleolar RNA. RefSeq annotates it as small nucleolar RNA SNORA17. NCBI's taxonomy places the organism in Eukaryota, Metazoa, Chordata, Mammalia, Rodentia, Muridae. The transcript has a single exon. The record is from RefSeq and is a predicted model, not a curated record.